Colias croceus (clouded yellow) is the source of this 382-nucleotide long non-coding RNA. RefSeq lists it as uncharacterized. NCBI's taxonomy places the organism in Eukaryota, Metazoa, Arthropoda, Insecta, Lepidoptera, Pieridae. The transcript is spliced from 2 exons. The record is from RefSeq and is a predicted model, not a curated record.
GGUAUUACUUAAAAGGUUAUUAAUUAUUAUCAUGUAAUUAUUUGGUUCUGAUCACAGAUCACAGAAACUAAAGGGUUCUGAUGAUAAGAAUAAUAAGAAAUAAUUAUAAUUUUUGUUUUAUUGAGUCUUCAAGUUAGGAUUGCAGGUUCGAAUGAUAAUAAUUUUUGUAUACCAUCGUAUAUAUUACAUAUAACAUAAUAUGGAGACAUUUCAUCAUGUCCACAACAAUAUCAAGGGUGUGAAGGGAUUCAGUCAAGGAGUUUUAAAUUAUUGAAGAGUGGUAAUUAUUUAGAAGUAGGGUUCGCGAAAAAAUUGAGCCCUACUUUUAUAUAAUCACCUGAAAAUUUUUCACUAGAGUAUAAAUAAUAAAAUAUGUGCUAAU